Molecule: ribosomal RNA, 253 nt
Filed under: uncultured bacterium
Lineage: Bacteria
Description: partial 16S ribosomal RNA
Rfam family: Bacterial small subunit ribosomal RNA
Source: RNAcentral
UACGUAGGGUGCGAGCGUUGUCCGGAAUUAUUGGGCGUAAAGAGCUCGUAGGCGGUUUGUCGCGUCUGCUGUGAAAUCCCAGGGCUUAACCCUGGGCCUGCAGUGGGUACGGGCAAACUAGAGUGCGGUAGGGGAGAUCGGAAUUCCUGGUGUAGCGGUGAAAUGCGCAGAUAUCAGGAGGAACACCGGUGGCGAAGGCGGAUCUCUGGGCCGUAACUGACGCUGAGGAGCGAAAGCAUGGGUAGCGAACAGG